AAUAAUACUAUAAUUUUCUUGCAUGAUUAAUUUAAGGUUUAUAAUUCCAGUUAUUGACGUCUCCGUGAAUAAAAUAGUAAAGUCAUCAUCAUACUUUAAUUUAAUAAAUAAAUAAAUGUAUAUACGGCUUUAUAUAAAUGGUUUAAUAAAACAAAUUAAAUAAUGUUUUAAAGUAAUCGAAAUACAUUAAUACAACUAAAUUCAAUAUUGGACUGCAUGGGAAAUUUCGGUACCAAAAAAGACAAAUUCUCAACCACUGUGUGCUAGUAUGCCUUGAAGAAAAUCCUUGUUGAAUAUUUAUUUGUAUUCCACCGCCUUCAGUUUUACACUGAAAAAUAAUCAGCCAAACAUAAAAGAUGCCUAGAUAGAAUCCAUGGUUUGUCUUACCAAGUUUUAUUUCUCAUGUGUAAACUUAAUUUACUGAGAGACUAUGCUUCAAAGCUGUAUGUUAGUAUGCCUUAAGAAAAAUGUAAGUUUAGCUAAAAAAGUCAAAUAUAAAUAUAUGUAUAUUAAUUUAAUUUUCUU
Drosophila rhopaloa is the source of this 525-nucleotide long non-coding RNA. RefSeq lists it as uncharacterized. The transcript has 3 exons. NCBI's taxonomy places the organism in Eukaryota, Metazoa, Arthropoda, Insecta, Diptera, Drosophilidae. The record is from RefSeq and is a predicted model, not a curated record.